UGUUGAGCAGCCAUCUUAGAGGAGAGAUGGUGGCUGUGAGAGGGAGCAGUGCUUUUACAGAAGAGAGCUGCCAUUCUCAGUUACCAGAGAUAGCCACAGAAAUAGUCAGAGUAGAGAAACAAGCAAGGAUAACAGCUGCUGCUGAAGCAUAGAUGGACAGCCCUUAAAACACUGGAGAGAACACAAAGACCUCUUUUGGAAAUACUGAGUCUGAUGCUUCAGGAAAGGUAGCUACACAGACUUAUGGCCGCCACUAAGGGAUCUUGGAUUAAUGAGAAAAGACUGGCAUGAACUCCCUAGGCUUACCCUUUGGACAGGUACACCCUGACACACAGGGUCCAUCACAAAAAAGCUGUCUUGCUGGAUUGGAGCAGGAAGGAGCACAAGUGUCCUCAGACAUGUACGUCUCUGAAAAGGAUAAAUGUAAGAAUAUGGCUGAAUAAUACAGGCAUAUCUGAAGAUAUCAUCAAGGACAGAAUGCUUAUGGCUUCGGCAUUUUGAGGCAGGGGACAUGGGUCAAUUCGCGUCAUCUGACCCCCAGACCGCGACGACUGUGAUGAGGGUGUGUUGGCAAAUUCGACAAGAUGUGGCACGCUGCACGGGGAAAAGGUUGCCAGUUGUGCCACCCGGUUUUCAGGAGCUUCCGGGAAAUUCCAGGAGAGCAGGCAUGUAUGGUGUCCAGUCUCCAUCAUUUGAAGCUUAUUAAUAUACUUUAUCUGUUCAUGCAUAACAAAUCUGUAUUGCUUUUACAAGGGAAGGUGCAUAUUUAUGAAUGCACCUGCAUUUUUCUGCAGUUGUAAAUGAUCCCAGGAUGUAUUGUAAAUGUUAUACUACUAUGUACACUAUAAAAUAUAUGCUU
Molecule: long non-coding RNA, 859 nt
Organism: Pseudophryne corroboree (corroboree frog)
Lineage: Eukaryota; Metazoa; Chordata; Amphibia; Anura; Myobatrachidae
Exons: 6
Source: RefSeq, a predicted model, not a curated record